This 271-nucleotide unclassified non-coding RNA is filed under the name plant metagenome. RNAcentral's name for it is "partial contains small subunit ribosomal RNA, internal transcribed spacer 1, and 5.8S ribosomal RNA". The record is from RNAcentral.
UUUCCGUAGGUGAACCUGCGGAAGGAUCAUUAUUGAAAUAAAAAACUCAGGCAGGGGGGAGUGUGGUUGUAGCUGUCCCCUAAUAAGGGCAUGUGCACACUGUCUCUUUCUCUUGUUUGUUUUUUUCAUUCUUUCCACUUGUGCACUGCUUGUAGGCAGCCUGGCAUUGUUCGGGUUGUCUAUGAUUUUCUUUUACAUACAUGAAUCAUUGUUGAACAGAAUGUGAUAAAAAAUAAUAAUACAACUUUCAACAACGGAUCUCUUGGCUCUC